GGAUAAGUAGUUUAAGUUUAAAUCAUAACACUGAAAAUGUUAAGAUGGCAUCGCCCUUCUCCA
Molecule: transfer RNA, 63 nt
Filed under: Popenaias popeii
Lineage: Eukaryota; Metazoa; Mollusca; Bivalvia; Unionida; Unionidae
Description: tRNA-Phe
Rfam family: tRNA
About the family: Transfer RNA (tRNA) molecules are approximately 80 nucleotides in length. Their secondary structure includes four short double-helical elements and three loops (D, anti-codon, and T loops).
Source: RNAcentral